This 77-nucleotide transfer RNA is filed under the name Methylotenera sp. 17-45-7. Its description in RNAcentral is "tRNA-Met". It matches the Rfam family "tRNA". From Rfam's summary of the family: Transfer RNA (tRNA) molecules are approximately 80 nucleotides in length. Their secondary structure includes four short double-helical elements and three loops (D, anti-codon, and T loops). Lineage: Bacteria; Pseudomonadati; Pseudomonadota; Betaproteobacteria; Nitrosomonadales; Methylophilaceae. The record is from RNAcentral.
GGUGAUGUAGCUCAGCUGGUUAGAGCACAGGAUUCAUAAUCCUUGGGUCGAGGGUUCAAGUCCCUCUUUCACCACCA